UACGUAGGGUCCGAGCGUUGUCCGGAAUUACUGGGCGUAAAGCGUGCGCAGGCGGCUUUCCAAGCGCCACGUGAAAGCCCCGGGCUCAACCCGGGAGGGUCGUGGCGAACUGGGAGGCUUGAGGCCGGUAGAGGCGAGUGGAAUUCCUGGUGUAGCGGUGGAAUGCGCAGAUAUCAGGAGGAACACCAAUAGCGAAGGCAGCUCGCUGGGACGUUACUGACACUGAGGCGCGAAAGCGUGGGGAGCGAACAGG
RNAcentral lists this ribosomal RNA (253 nucleotides) under uncultured bacterium. Its description in RNAcentral is "partial 16S ribosomal RNA". It matches the Rfam family "Bacterial small subunit ribosomal RNA", at positions 524 to 776 of the family's 1533-position model. The record is from RNAcentral.